AUGAUACCUCAGCCCGAUGGUAGCGUAACCAGCUUCACUGGGAAACACAUCUGGGAAGUUUUUGCACCUGGGCAAAUGAUGGAGGGUGAUGUUGUGCUUGACUGUACAUUUUACAGUGGUGAAGAUAAAGAGUUUAAUGUGGAGAGUGCAGUGAGAGAUUUGAGGAGCUAUGUUAAAAAAGAGGAAGACUUGCUAACUGCCGACCUUAUCAUGGUGCCUCUAUUAAAGCCUAUGGUUUUACCAAAGGAUAAGAAAGUAAACCACUUUUCCUUAUAUGUCAUGAAUCGGUACCGAAGUAGCGUCGACAUCCUUGACUCUUUACCUUAUCCGAAGAACCAUCAUCCUUCAAAGAACACCUAUCAUAAAGACUGCGUGAAGAUUAUCUCUAGAUUGGUCCAUGUAAUGAAGGCUGUGUAUGGUGAUGCUCAGUACAAUGUGAGCAAGCAGCCCAAAUGGGAGAUUUUUUUGCAAAGAAACCAACGUUUGUCAAGGUUCCACUUCACGGCCCGAAUGAAUGUGGCCAUUAUACUCUGA
RNAcentral lists this ribosomal RNA (534 nucleotides) under Triticum aestivum (bread wheat). RNAcentral describes it as "partial small subunit ribosomal RNA". Lineage: Eukaryota; Viridiplantae; Streptophyta; Magnoliopsida; Poales; Poaceae. The record is from RNAcentral.